CUACGGGAGGCUUCAGUGAGGAAUUUUGCGCAAUGGGGGAAACCCUGACGCAGCAACGCUGCGUGAGCGAAGAAGGCCUUCGGGUCGUAAAGCUCUGUCAAGUGGGAAAAAAAUUCUUUGAUGAACAGUCAAAGGACUUGAUGGUACCACUGGAGGAAGCACCGGCUAACUCCGUGCCAGCAGCCGCGGUAAUACGGAGGGUGCAAGCGUUGUUCGGAAUUACUGGGCGUAAAGAGCGUGUAGGCGGUUUGACAAGUCAGAUGUGAAAGCCCCGGGCUCAACCCGGGAAGUGCAUUUGAAACUGUUUCACUAGAGUAUGGGAGAGGAGAUUGGAAUUCCUGGUGUAGAGGUGAAAUUCGUAGAUAUCAGGAGGAACACCCGUGGCGAAGGCGAUUCUCUGGACCAAUACUGACGCUGAGACGCGAAAGCGUGGGGAGCAAACAGGAUUAGAUACCCUUGUAGUC
Molecule: ribosomal RNA, 464 nt
Filed under: uncultured bacterium
Lineage: Bacteria
Description: partial 16S ribosomal RNA
Rfam family: Bacterial small subunit ribosomal RNA
Source: RNAcentral